AUCAAUCUGCUAAGUUGAUUAAGCUAAGUUGAUUUCAGAGGUAUUUAUCAAUCUGCUAAAAGCUCGAAUUACCAGAUUAAACUAAGUUGAUUUCAAGCGGGAAAGAGGUAUUUAUCAAUCUGCUAUUUGGGAAAUUAAAUAAGCAAGAGGGAUUUCAAGUUAAAUGCUUGAACAGAAUGGUAGGGUAAAAAUUAAUGGUGAAAGAGACUUAU
RNAcentral lists this long non-coding RNA (212 nucleotides) under Ricinus communis (castor bean). RNAcentral describes it as "long non-coding RNA (RCOM_LNC002844)". Lineage: Eukaryota; Viridiplantae; Streptophyta; Magnoliopsida; Malpighiales; Euphorbiaceae. The record is from RNAcentral.